This 397-nucleotide ribosomal RNA is filed under the name uncultured bacterium. RNAcentral's name for it is "bacterial SSU rRNA". It matches the Rfam family "Bacterial small subunit ribosomal RNA", at positions 355 to 768 of the family's 1533-position model. The record is from RNAcentral.
UGAGGAAUAUUGCACAAUGGGCGAAAGCCUGAUGCAGCAACGCCGCGUGAGGGACGAAGGCCUUCGGGUCGUAAACCUCUUUUCUGGGGGACGAGUAAGGACGGUACUCCAGGAAUAAGUCUCGGCUAACUACGUGCCAGCAGCCGCGGUAAAACGUAGGAGGCGAGCGUUAUCCGGAUUUACUGGGCGUAAAGCGUACGCAGGUGGCUUCGUUAGUCGGACAUGAAAGCUCCUGGCUUAACUGGGAGAGGUUGUUCGAUACUGCGGGGCUUGAGAUUGGGAGAGGGACGUGGAAUUAACGGUGUAGUGGUGGAAUGCGUAGAUAUGGGGAGGAACACCAGUGGCGCGAGGGGCGUCGUGGCCCACACCUGACGCUGGGGUACGAAAGCGUGGGUAG